AGAGUUUGAUCCUGGCUCAGGAUGAACGCUAGCGGCAGGCCUAAUACAUGCAAGUCGAACGGUAAAUAUUUAGCAAUAAAUAUGAGAGUGACGUACGGGUGCGUAACACGUAUGCAACCUACCCUUUACAGGCGGAUAGCUCGGGGAAACUCGAAUUAACCCGCCGUAAUAUAAUUGGAUGGCAUCAUCUGGUUAUUAAAUCUACGGAGGUAAAGGAUGGGCAUGCGUCUGAUUAGUUAGUUGGCGGGGUAACGGCCCACCAAGACGAUGAUCAGUAGGGGAACUGAGAGGUUGAUCCCCCACACUGGCACUGAGAUACGGGCCAGACUCCUACGGGAGGCAGCAGUAGGGAAUAUUGGUCAAUGGAUGGAAGUCUGAACCAGCCAUGCCGCGUGCAGGAAGAAGGCCUUCUGGGUUGUAAACUGCUUUUGCCAGGGGAUAAAAUGACCUUGCGAGGUUAAUUGAAGGUACCUGGUGAAUAAGCCACGGCUAACUACGUGCCAGCAGCCGCGGUAAUACGUAGGUGGCAAGCGUUGUCCGGAUUUAUUGGGUUUAAAGGGUGCGUAGGCGGCUUAUUAAGUCAGUGGUGAAAUACUCUAGCUCAACUAGAGGGGUGCCAUUGAUACUGAUGAGCUUGAGUACAGAUGAGGUAGGCGGAAUUGACGGUGUAGCGGUGAAAUGCUUAGAUAUCGUCAAGAACACCUAUAGCGAAGGCAGCUUACUAGGCUGUAACUGACGCUGAGGCUCGAAAGUGCGGGGAUCAAACAGGAUUAGAUACCCUGGUAGUCCGCACUGUAAACGAUGAUUACUCGCUGCUGGAGGGCAACCUUCAGUGGCUUAGCGAAAGCGAUAAGUAAUCCACCUGGGGAGUACGCCGGCAACGGUGAAACUCAAAGGAAUUGACGGGGGCCCGCACAAGCGGAGGAGCAUGUGGUUUAAUUCGAUGAUACGCGAGGAACCUUACCAGGGCUUGAAAGUUAGUGACCGACUCUGAAAGGAGUCUUUCAGCAAUGACACGAAACUAGGUGCUGCAUGGCUGUCGUCAGCUCGUGCCGUGAGGUGUUGGGUUAAGUCCCGCAACGAGCCAACCCCUACCAUUAGUUGCCAGCGGUUCGGCCGGGGACUCUAAUGGAACUGCCCGUGCAAACGGAGAGGAAGGUGGGGACGACGUCAAGUCAUCACGGCCCUUACGUCCUGGGCUACACACGUGCUACAAUGGUUAUUACAGAGGGCAGCUACCUGGCAACAGGAUGCAAAUCUUCAAAAAUAAUCUCAGUUCGGAUUGGGGUCUGCAACUCGACCCCAUGAAGCUGGAUUCGCUAGUAAUCGCGCAUCAGCAAUGGCGCGGUGAAUACGUUCCCGGGCCUUGUACACACCGCCCGUCAAACAAUGGAAGUUGGGGGUAUCUAAAGUCGGUAGCCGUAAGGCGCCGCCUAGGGUAAAACUGAUAACUGGUGUUAAGUCGUAACAAGGUA
This 1475-nucleotide ribosomal RNA is filed under the name metagenome. Its description in RNAcentral is "bacterial SSU rRNA". It matches the Rfam family "Bacterial small subunit ribosomal RNA". The record is from RNAcentral.